Molecule: ribosomal RNA, 253 nt
Filed under: uncultured bacterium
Lineage: Bacteria
Description: partial 16S ribosomal RNA
Rfam family: Bacterial small subunit ribosomal RNA
Source: RNAcentral
UACAGAGGGUGCAAGCGUUAAUCGGAAUUACUGGGCGUAAAGCGCUCGUAGGUGGAAUAGCAAGUCCGUCGUAAAAUACCUGGGCUCAACCUAGGGAUGUCGAUAGAAACUAUUAUUCUAGAGUAUUGGAGAGGGUAGAGGAAUUUCUGGUGUAGCGGUGAAAUGCGUAGAUAUCAGAAGGAACAUCAGUGGCGAAGGCGUCUACCUGGCCAAAUACUGACACUGAGGAGCGAAAGCGUGGGUAGCAAACAGG